This 106-nucleotide small nuclear RNA is filed under the name Fukomys damarensis (Damara mole-rat). The record is from RNAcentral. Lineage: Eukaryota; Metazoa; Chordata; Mammalia; Rodentia; Bathyergidae.
UUCUUACUUCUGCAACAUAUAUCCUUAAAUUGAAGCAACACAGGAAAGGUAUGCGUAGUCCCUGUGUAGGGAUGCCAGGCAAAUUGGUGAAACAUUCUGUAUUUUG